Long non-coding RNA from Fopius arisanus, 1728 nucleotides. RefSeq lists it as uncharacterized. The transcript has 3 exons. Lineage: Eukaryota; Metazoa; Arthropoda; Insecta; Hymenoptera; Braconidae. The record is from RefSeq and is a predicted model, not a curated record.
UUUUUCUAUUUCUACCAUAAAUAGAAAUAGCAUGAUCACUGAUUAUUUCGAUAUAACAUUGUCAAACUGUGCAUCGAAAUUUAAUCGUUGAAAAAUCUUCGUCAAUUAAUAAAUGCUAAAGAAACAUUACUAAUAAUAAAAAUUGAAUUUAUUCGUCCCACUCAAUUUCUCAGAAAAACUGGCCCUAUGUGUGAUCUCGUAGCAAGCGUGUGGACGACUGUCUGACUCAAUAGAAUAAAGAUUAUUCAAUAAACACAAGUCUACAAGAUCGAUUCAUCUCAGAAAUUCCGCACAUUUCGUACAGAAAUAGGAGAAAUAUAUAAUAUAUAAAAUAGUUAGCUUUGAAGAGAAAGGGAGGAAGAAGGAAUGAGAGCAGGGAGUUCCGCUAAGUAUAUCAGGCCUCUCCACCAACUCUUCCUAAUUAAGCUCGGGAGCCGAGGCCGAGUGAAGUGAAGCGAGGUUGCCGAACCCUGGUCUAAUCCCCUUCAACGGUGAACCAUAUCAUUCAAAGAGGUUAGCAGCAAAUUAUAGAGGAAUAUCGCUGCUAGAUAUAGGCUAUAAGGUACUGACAGGAAUAAUGGCCAGGAGGCUAGGGAAAUGGCUAGAUGAGGAAGGAAAGCUGACGGAAGCACAGGCAGGAUUCAGGAGAAAGAGAGGCACAAUGGAGCAGGGAAAGGAACGACGGGAGAGUUCAUGACAGGAAAAGGAGUUAGACAAGGCUGCCCGCUUAGCCCAUUACUCUUCAACAUUUUCAUUCAGGACUUGGUAGAGGAUUUAGAGAAAAAGAAGGAAGGCGGAAUGGCGAUUGAUGCGAGGGUGGGGGGAAAGGUCUAUACGCUAUUAUACGCGGACGACGCGGCCUUGAUAUUUAAUGGAAUAAAAUGGAUAAAGAGAGACGGCCAAGGAGAUGUAUGCGAGAAGAACUAAGGGGAAUCAAGAACGGUGAGGCAACAAGGUGGGGACAAGAGAUGGUAAAGAAACUAAGUGAAUUAGGGGAUGGACAGUUCCUGGAAAUGCUGUGGAACGAGAAAAACGAGGAAGCAAUAGAGAGGAUAGAGGAAAUGACACAGAUCUUGGGAGAUCAAGAGGCACAAAAGGACUGGGAAAGAAUUGAAAGAUCAAGAUACUGUAGCUACUAUAAGGAAAUAAAGGACAAUGCAACGAUUGAAGGGUACUAGCAGGACGGGAAACUAGGACUAGAACAGAAAAUGAUAUGGGCAAGGUGGAGAUGCGGGAACGCACUAAGAGGCGACAGAACAGGGAUUAUAGAAGACACAUGCAGAGCAUCCAAGAAAGAGAAGGAAGCGCUGGAACAUGUGAUAAAUUGCGGGGUACUAAUGGGGAGGCUAGAAGAGGAGGAAGAGAGCUGGUGGAAACAGUGGAGGCAACAGAGCAGCGACGGAGCAUGGAGAGAGAGAAUCGUGGAAAUGCUGAGGGGACAGACGGAUAGAAAGGUAUGUGGAAGGUUAGGAAAGAUAGAGAAAAAACUGAGGGAAAUGGAGGAGGAAAGGAGGAAGGACUAAAAGAGAGACUGAAAUAGAUAUAAGAAAGACGAAAGGAGAGGGACUAGGAAGCAAGGAAAGGAGCGGAACAACUGUGAUAAACAGAAGGAUACAAGGAAGGGAUGAAUAUAUAGUAAAUGAUAAGGACAUAAAAUGCUAUGAAAAUGUUAUUAAGUAUAUUAAAUUUAUAUAUGGUUGAUCUUAUACUAACGAAAAGAAAGAGGAA